RNAcentral lists this unclassified non-coding RNA (388 nucleotides) under soil metagenome. Its description in RNAcentral is "partial contains 5.8S ribosomal RNA, internal transcribed spacer 2, and large subunit ribosomal RNA". The stretch from base 1 to 121 matches the Rfam family "5.8S ribosomal RNA", at positions 35 to 154 of the family's 154-position model. The record is from RNAcentral.
GAUGAAGAACGUAGCGAACGUGCGAAACGUAAUGUGAAUUGCAGAAUUCAGUGAAUCAUCGAAUCUUUGAACGCACCUUGCGCCCUUUGGUAUUCCGAAGGGCACACCUGUUUGAGUGUCAUUAAUUCCUCAACUUUAUCAUUUUUUUUUAUUAAAGUGAUAAUAGUUGGAUGUUGAGCGCUGCUGGACUUUUCAGUUCAGCUCGCUUUAAAUUCAUGAGCAGGCUCCUAUAUUUUCGGACUGACUCAACGUGAUAAGAAAAUUUCGUUGAGGACGCUUUACAGCGGCCGAAUUUUAGGGAAAUGCCGCUACCAGUUGACCCUUAUAUUUUAGACCUCAAAUCAGGUGGGACUACCCGCUGAACUUAAGCAUAUCAAUAAGCGGAGGA